Molecule: ribosomal RNA, 647 nt
Filed under: Enterobacter sp. INT26-39
Lineage: Bacteria; Pseudomonadati; Pseudomonadota; Gammaproteobacteria; Enterobacterales; Enterobacteriaceae
Description: bacterial SSU rRNA
Rfam family: Bacterial small subunit ribosomal RNA
Source: RNAcentral
UGAGUAAUGUCUGGGAAACUGCCUGAUGGAGGGGGAUAACUACUGGAAACGGUAGCUAAUACCGCAUAACGUCGCAAGACCAAAGAGGGGGACCUUCGGGCCUCUUGCCAUCAGAUGUGCCCAGAUGGGAUUAGCUAGUAGGUGGGGUAACGGCUCACCUAGGCGACGAUCCCUAGCUGGUCUGAGAGGAUGACCAGCCACACUGGAACUGAGACACGGUCCAGACUCCUACGGGAGGCAGCAGUGGGGAAUAUUGCACAAUGGGCGCAAGCCUGAUGCAGCCAUGCCGCGUGUAUGAAGAAGGCCUUCGGGUUGUAAAGUACUUUCAGCGGGGAGGAAGGUGUUGAGGUUAAUAACCUCAGCAAUUGACGUUACCCGCAGAAGAAGCACCGGCUAACUCCGUGCCAGCAGCCGCGGUAAUACGGAGGGUGCAAGCGUUAAUCGGAAUUACUGGGCGUAAAGCGCACGCAGGCGGUCUGUCAAGUCGGAUGUGAAAUCCCCGGGCUCAACCUGGGAACUGCAUUCGAAACUGGCAGGCUAGAGUCUUGUAGAGGGGGGUAGAAUUCCAGGUGUAGCGGUGAAAUGCGUAGAGAUCUGGAGGAAUACCGGUGGCGAAGGCGGCCCCCUGGACAAAGACUGACGCUCAC